UGCUGGUUUUUGAGGAUGCCCUGUGGGGAGGAGGCAGAGCGGCUUCAGCUCUGCCCUCCAGACUGCUCUCGGUGCUCGUCGGAGCCGCGGAGUUUCAUCGGUCCCAAACCUGCUGGGAAAGGCCCCGUGAAGCCGCCGGAGCCCUGGCACAGCCCGAGCAGCCCCAGCCCGGCGCGUCCUUCCCCCGCUGCUCCCGUCCGAGGCCUUCGGGGCCAAAGGGCUCCCUGAGGGGACAGCCCAGGGUGCGACCCCGAGCACGGGAGAGCCCCAGUCCUGCUCUAGCAGAGGCAGCACCAUCAGGAGUUAACCAGAAAGCGAAACUUCUGAAUUUCGCGGAAAGCAGCUGACACACAACUGCCGUGCCUGGGGGGAGCUUUUCCGAACGCCGUUGGCCCCUCAGAGCGAAACAAGACUUUGGUGUCGCGGAGUGUCGCGGUACCGGGAUUAGAGCAGCCUCAUUGCAGCUCUCGCUCCUGUCCCGCUGCCCAUGAGCUUUCUUCCAGUUGCCGUGGCAUACUUCGCGGUACUGGUCAUAGGCGCUGCAGUUUUGGCGAUAUACAAAGACAAGAUAAUCCUCAAAAUAAAUAAGGGAUCUUUUUCCUUCCAUUUUCAAGCUGGGGGAAAACAUAAGGACUGACUCUGCCCUGCAAGCAGCAGCAGGCAUCAUGCUGUCCAUUGGAAGAACUCCUGGUGCCCACUGCCAGCGAGCAGAAGGUGAUUUCCUUCCAAUUGGCUUCAUUCAUGUGUUCCCACUACUGGAACUGGAAAGCCCACAGAGACCCCCAGCUGCUCCUUCAAAAAUUUUGGAUUGCCUUGAGCAAUAAAUGCUUUUGAAACCUUUAAUGAAA
Molecule: long non-coding RNA, 848 nt
Organism: Agelaius phoeniceus (red-winged blackbird)
Lineage: Eukaryota; Metazoa; Chordata; Aves; Passeriformes; Icteridae
Source: RefSeq, a predicted model, not a curated record